Echinops telfairi (small Madagascar hedgehog) is the source of this 108-nucleotide small nuclear RNA. Lineage: Eukaryota; Metazoa; Chordata; Mammalia; Afrosoricida; Tenrecidae. The record is from RefSeq and is a predicted model, not a curated record.
GUGCUCGCUUCGGCAACACAUAUGCUAAUAUUGGAACGAUACAGAGAAGAUUAGCAUGACCCCUGUGCAAGGAUGACACGCCUGUUUCUCUCACCCUUCCCUACCUUU